CCGCUCGGAGACGCCGAGAUCAUCUCCCAUGUCAUAGCCGGCCUCGACAUCGACUACAACCCUGUGAUCUCGGCUCUGGCUGCACGGGUCGAACCUAUUACGGUUCAGGAGUUGUAUAGUCAGCUCCUGAGCUUCGACG
This is a non-coding RNA of Triticum aestivum (bread wheat), 139 nucleotides long. The record is from Rfam. Lineage: Eukaryota; Viridiplantae; Streptophyta; Magnoliopsida; Poales; Poaceae.